ACCUGUUUUUCAGAAAUUUCACUGAGAGUACAGAAAUGUUCUUACAGGUGUACCUUGCUCCCAUUGCUACUCCUCAGCAAUUGUGUGGGCUGGGUCCCAGACUUACUAACGUGUACCUAUGUCACCUCAGUUUUCAAUCUCAAUUGAAAACAUAAUUUCUGAUCCUUCUGAUGAAUGACACGUGAAAAAACUUAUCAGCCCUUCCCCUGUUAAACAAACAGAAGUGACUUCUGUAUAAAUCACACAAAAAAACCCAGUACAUUAAAAGCAUUAGAAGUCCUAAAUCUAAUAAUGGAAAAGAUGAUCACAAUUCCAAAAGGAAAUUGAUUACCUAUUUAUAUCAAUUUUGAAAGAACUGACGAAGAACCCAGAAAUAGAAUACUCAAAUUUAUAUGUCUCCCUGUUUUAAAGGUUAAAAUCAGCUGAUCUGCUUAAAAGGAAAGACAGACAAAUGUGCAAACGUCAGGAAAUGCCAUCGCUCACCAUAGAGAAAAUUGAGCAAUAUUGCUUUAAAAUAUCCAGAAUCGAGUUUGGGACUAAAGCUUCAUAUUCUGAUCCGGGUAAGUUCUCCUUAACGUCCUACUCAGCUCUUCACUGUCUGUGUCGUUUCCUCUUUUUCAGAGGUGCUGGGGUCCGGGCAGUUGCACAGAAGUGGGGUAAUAUUCCAUCCUCACUUCAUCAGACAUACAGAGCUAGCAAUACAUCACAGUGUUUAGGAGAUCCCUGUCACAGUAAGCAACUCUGCAGAUUCCUGUCUCCUCUCCAAGGAGAGGAGAUAAAAUAUCCAUGUGCAGCUGUAACCCCUUUCAGCAAUUGCAGAGACCAAAAGAAUCAGGGAUCUGCCUUCUACAAUAGCUAAUAAAAAAAGUGUGUUGGGGAAUUACUACCAAAGGGACAUUUCAUCUUGACCGGUAGGGAUUUUUCUCUGAUUCUACACAGAAUUAUUUAACAGUCAUAGCAAAUUUCAGACUGCUUGACCAGAAUUAUUUUCUUCAGCUGUUAAGGGAUGACUUUGUCACUCAUUUUGGGAUACUGUCAAAGUUGCUACUUUGUCUACUUGAGGAGUUUGCCAGAAAUCCCAGCAGUUUGAGAAAUGAAUUGGCAGGUACUCACUGAAAGGAAAAACAUGUCACAGAAGACAUAGAGGGCCCUUAUGGACAGCUAACUGUGCCAGCACAGCUCCAUACCCUGUGCCAGAUGUGCAGCAAAUUCUUGGAAUUACCAGAAUGUACUCUUUUUGCCCCCAAAUGCAUACCAUUUAGCAACAAAAUAGAUUCUCUAUGAAAUGAACUCUCAGAAAACUAUGCAGGAGUAUUUCUAUGGUUUGACGGCUUUCUUUUCACUCACCUGAGGUCCCUGUGGUCCUUUAGGGCCAAAUGGACCUUCCAAUCUGUAUUUAUUAAAAAAGGAAAG
Molecule: long non-coding RNA, 1413 nt
Filed under: Struthio camelus australis
Lineage: Eukaryota; Metazoa; Chordata; Aves; Struthioniformes; Struthionidae
Description: lncRNA (ENSSCUG00000012898.1)
Source: RNAcentral